Molecule: long non-coding RNA, 395 nt
Organism: Ictalurus punctatus (channel catfish)
Lineage: Eukaryota; Metazoa; Chordata; Actinopteri; Siluriformes; Ictaluridae
Source: Ensembl
CAAGACCAAAAGUGCAGGCACAUCAUUUAUUGAUAAGGCAAAAAAAAAAAAAAAAAGAAAGAAAAAAAAGAAUGUAAUGAAAUUAUCAAUGUUCUUGAAUUAAUUAUGACCAUGAUUAAGAAAGCUAAAAUCUCAGGAGCCGGGAUCCCAUUACCCUUUCAGUCUCGGGGACGGCUUUCACUGAGGGAGAGGCAGAGCGAGCAUCGCUGCCUCCUCGCCUCCGUCUCUCUCCUCUCGUCCUCGCCGUGCAGCACCUCGUUCCACCCGUCUCUCCAUCCCUCCUGUCGUCCUCCACGGCCCGCCACGCGUCCUGCGCUUUCCUGACCCUGACCUCGCCCUGACCCAAGCGGAUGUAAUCCGUCAAACACUUUAAAGACCUGACCCACAGGAACCGG